UGAACAUCUGGAACUGCUCAGUUAUCUGACCACAGGAGAAAUGAAUUACAUAAUAAGAAGUAAAAGGAAGUAUUCUGCCAUGUUUGUGUUGCCAACACUGGACCAUGCUGAGCAGACCUGGAGAGCAUUUAUUUCUAAGCAAAGUCAGCAAUAUACGAAAGAAGAAAUGUAUAAAGUUUUAAAAAGCCCAGCUGAAAGCUGCAUCAAUGAAAUAUAAACCCAGCACAAAGAAGUCCGGCUUCCUUCCUAGGUGGCCUUCGUCAGAAUAAAUGAUCUGUGGCACACUGAAAUGAAUCAGCAGAGCUCAUGGAGACUGAAACGUGAA
RNAcentral lists this long non-coding RNA (325 nucleotides) under Capra hircus (goat). Its description in RNAcentral is "lncRNA (ENSCHIG00000006933.1)". The record is from RNAcentral. Lineage: Eukaryota; Metazoa; Chordata; Mammalia; Artiodactyla; Bovidae.